GAACGCAGUAGCAAUACUGAGUGGCAAACGGGUGAGUAUAAUGUGGGAAUCUGCCUUUUGGUUCGGAAUAACACGAGGAAACUUGUGCUAAUACCGGAUAAGUCCUUACGGAGAAAGUUUUAAUGCCAAAAGAUGAGCCCGCAUUUGAUUAGCUAGUUGGUAAGGUAAAAGCUCACCAAGGCGAUAAUCAAUAGCUGAUUUGGGAGGAUGAUCAGCCACACUGGGACUGAGAUACGGCCCAGACUCC
Molecule: ribosomal RNA, 247 nt
Filed under: uncultured bacterium
Lineage: Bacteria
Description: partial 16S ribosomal RNA
Rfam family: Bacterial small subunit ribosomal RNA
Source: RNAcentral